RNAcentral lists this antisense RNA (75 nucleotides) under Streptomyces paromomycinus. Its description in RNAcentral is "ASpks TB sRNA". It matches the Rfam family "ASpks TB sRNA". The record is from RNAcentral. Lineage: Bacteria; Bacillati; Actinomycetota; Actinomycetes; Kitasatosporales; Streptomycetaceae.
CUUCACCGACCCCAGCCAGAGCGCAUCCCGCUCACCACGGUCCCGGCCAUAGGUCGCCAGCAGCGCCUGCGCCUC